GUAGUCAAAUUGGUUUGUUAAACAGUUUUUUUUUCCUAGAAAUUUUAAAGAAUUUAAUUGGGUGGUGGUGCUAGUUUAAUAAAGUUUUUGCCUGAUUUUUGUUUUUCCCUUUGAUGUGAUUUAGAAGAUCACAAGUGAUAGAAGUUCGGACUAUUUAUUGUUAUAAUUACUCUUUAAUGUGGGAAAGAGCAAAAUCUUAGUAAGCUGCAGUGCGCCAUUAGUAGUUUAUUGUAGGGAUCAAUCCAGUUUGCAUGGCAGGCAAAUGAAUGGCUUACCUUCCCUCGAGAAAGUUUUUUUGGUUGUUGGAAGGUUGAUGACAGCAAAUGAGGGAGCUUUAUUUUGUAGAGAGUUCCCUCCCACUUUUACCAAUUGCUUUUGCUUUCCUACUAAUAGUACUUGUCUUCCACCACCAUGGCUGCAUCUUCCCCUACCAACGUUUUCAACCCUUCUUCCGCCACAACACUUCCCACUUCUGAAAAACUCAGAGAAAGAGACGUCCGGACAGAAAAACAGUGUCUCCAACGCCACAGCCAUACUAUAAUUAAAGGCUUUGAAAGAGCAAUCUGAAGCACUAACAAAAAGACAUUUCUAUGAGCUAGAUUACCAUCGUUGAAGUGAUCCUUGUCAUCAUUGACAUGAUGUUGGGCUGCCAAGUCAUUAACACUGUGGAUGUUCUGAGCCAACACAGCAAAAGGAGCUCUCAGCUGCUGAUUCAUAGCUCCAGAUUGCUUACGUAAUCCGUCUCUUAAGGUGUAAUUUUCUGUGAUAUCAGGGAUGUAGGUUGGCCUGAAAGGUAAAAAUAGUGAGUUCUACCCUGUUAAGCAUAAAUACGAAUGGCAUUUGUACAUAUACACAUUCAACUUUUACUGUACCUAAUCUUCUUUAGAGGUGCUGCAGUCUCAGCUCCAUCUGUACCGAACCCAUUUUGGGAUACAACCCUUUUGUUGUUCAUUUUAAUGUAUGAACCGGAAUUCUCUUU
Molecule: long non-coding RNA, 979 nt
Organism: Carya illinoinensis
Lineage: Eukaryota; Viridiplantae; Streptophyta; Magnoliopsida; Fagales; Juglandaceae
Exons: 2
Source: RefSeq, a predicted model, not a curated record